ACGUAGGGACCAAGCGUUGUUCGGAUUUACUGGGCGUAAAGGGCGCGUAGGCGGCGCGGUAAGUCACUUGUGAAAUCUCUGAGCUUAACUCAGAACGGCCAAGUGGUACUGCAGUGCUAGAGUGUGGAAGGGGCAAUCGGAAUUCUUGGUGUAGCGGUGAAAUGCGUAGAUAUCAGGAGGAACACCUGUGGCGAAAGCGGCGCACUGGACCACAACUGACGCUGAGGCGCGAAAGCUAGGGGGGCAAACAGGA
This 253-nucleotide ribosomal RNA is filed under the name uncultured prokaryote. RNAcentral's name for it is "partial 16S ribosomal RNA". It matches the Rfam family "Bacterial small subunit ribosomal RNA", at positions 525 to 777 of the family's 1533-position model. The record is from RNAcentral.